GAGACACCCCUCCGGGGCAUGACUUGCUUCAAUGGGGCUUUGGUGCUCACUGGGUCUGCCCCCUGAGUGUGACUUU
Non-coding RNA from Myotis davidii, 76 nucleotides. The record is from Rfam. NCBI's taxonomy places the organism in Eukaryota, Metazoa, Chordata, Mammalia, Chiroptera, Vespertilionidae.